CCCUUAGAUGUUCUGGGCCGCACGCGCGCUACACUGGUGCGUUCAACAAGUUUACAACCUUGAUUGACAAGUCUGGGUAAUCUUUUGAAUGCGCACCGUGCUAGGGAUAGAUUAUUGCAAUUAUUAAUCUUGAACGAGGAAUUCCUAGUAAACGCAAGUCAUCAGCUUGCAUUGAUUACGUCCCUGCCCUUUGUACACACCGCCCGUCGCACCUACUGAUUGAAUGACUCGGUGAAAAGUUGGGACUGUGAGAACAAUUGAUUCAUUUCAAAUGUACUCGUGGGAACUUUUUUUAACCUCGCCAUUUAGAAGAAGGUGAAGUCGUAACA
Molecule: ribosomal RNA, 329 nt
Filed under: uncultured eukaryote
Lineage: Eukaryota
Description: partial 18S ribosomal RNA
Rfam family: Eukaryotic small subunit ribosomal RNA
Source: RNAcentral